Molecule: ribosomal RNA, 615 nt
Filed under: uncultured bacterium
Lineage: Bacteria
Description: bacterial SSU rRNA
Rfam family: Bacterial small subunit ribosomal RNA (bases 1-515)
Source: RNAcentral
CCUACGGGAGGCAGCAGUGGGGAAUCUUGCACAAUGGAGGAAACUCUGAUGCAGCGAUGCCGCGUGAGUGAAGAAGGCCUUUGGGUUGUAAAGCUCUUUUGUAGGGGAAGAUAAUGACUGUACCCUAAGAAUAAGGUCCGGCUAACUUCGUGCCAGCAGCCGCGGUAAUACGAAGGGACCUAGCGUAGUUCGGAAUUACUGGGCGUAAAGCGCGCGUAGGCCGUUGAGUUAGUUAAUUGUGAAAUCCCAAAGCUUAACUUUGGAACUGCAAUUAAAACUGCUCGACUAGAGUUUGAUAGAGGAAAGCGGAAUACAUAGUGUAGAGGUGAAAUUCGUAGAUAUUAUGUAGAACACCAGUUGCGAAGGCGGCUUUCCGGAUCAACACUGACGCUGAGGCGCGAAAGUAUGGGUAGCAAAGAGGAUUAGAUACCCUCGUAGUCCAUACCAUAAACCGGAUGAUGUNUANAUGUGUAAUUAUUUACUAGUAUCGCANCUACGACAUAAGUACAUCCGCCGUCGGGUAGGUACGACCGACGAACGGUAAACGUUAACGAAAUAGAAGUUAGUAACGGUCGUGUUAGACGUGCCGAACGGACGACGACGAGGGAGGUUAGG